Molecule: ribosomal RNA, 277 nt
Filed under: uncultured prokaryote
Description: partial 16S ribosomal RNA
Rfam family: Bacterial small subunit ribosomal RNA
Source: RNAcentral
UACGUAGGGGCUAGCGUUGUCCGGAGUUACUGGGCGUAAAGGGCGAGUAGGCGGCUUGUUAAGUCAGGUGUGAAAUUCCAAGGCUCAACCUUGGAACUGCGCUUGAAACUGGCAGGCUUGAGGACAGGAGAGGGAAGUAGAAUCCCCGGUGUAGCGGUGAAAUGCGUAGAUAUCGGGGGGAAUACCAGUGGCGAAGGCGGCUUCCUGGACUGUACCUGACGCUGAGGAGCGAAAGCUAGGGGAGCAAACAGGAUUAGAUACCCUGGUAGUCCCUGAG